Molecule: ribosomal RNA, 494 nt
Filed under: uncultured bacterium
Lineage: Bacteria
Description: partial 16S ribosomal RNA
Rfam family: Bacterial small subunit ribosomal RNA
Source: RNAcentral
GACGAACGCUGGCGGCGUGCUUAACACAUGCAAGUCGAACGGAAAGGCCUGCUUUCCCUUGUGGAUUGCGGGUACUCGAGUGGCGAACGGGUGAGUAACACGUGAGUGAUCUGCCCCCAACUUGGGUAUAAGCCUGGGAAACUGGGUCUAAUUCCCGAUAGGACUGCAGGGUGGUGCCUGUGGUGGAAAACGAUUUUCUAGUGGUUGGGGAUGAGCUCUCGGCCUAUCAGCUGGUUGGUGGGGUAAUGGCCUACCAAGGCGGCGACGGGUAGCCGGCCUGAGAGGGUGUACGGCCACAUUGGGACUGAGAUACGGCCCAGACUACUACGGGAGGCAGCAGUGGGGAAUAUUGCACAAUGGGCGGAAGCCUGAUGCAGCGACGCCGCGUGGGGGAUGACGGCCUUCGGGUUGUAAACUCCUUUCGACCGCGAGGAAGCCACCUGGUUGGAAGGGUGGUGACGGUAGCGGUAGAAGAAGCACCGGCUAACUACGUG